AUGCAACUUCCAUUCGCGAGGGGGGGCUGUGUUGACACAUCAUACCAUGGGUUUCAUGAAUCACCAUAUCCAGAGAUUCGUCGACACAGCUUGUUGCCAGAUAAUCUUCAGUGUGUGAAAGGCAUCAAGCUUCCAUGCGAUGGAUGGCUUUUGCAAACCAGACAUGCGGCGAUGUGCACGACCCUCUUUUGUUGGAUAUUAUGUACUGUUGUUAGUUUGAAGCACUCCUCUGGUUUGAAGGAUAGAUACCUUCCUGGGAUCAAGUGCAUCCUAACUCACCUGCUACCAUAUAACUGGAAUUACCGAUGCAAGUCGAAGAAGGAUUCGCCGGUCCUGCCGGCUGGCGUCAAGUUCGAUCCCACGGAUCAGGAGCUGAUCGAGCACCUUGAGGCCAAAGUGAGUGCUGACAGCGCGAGAUUUCAGUCUCUCAUCGAUUUGUUCAUACCAACCAUCGACAGCGAGCAUGGCAUAUGCUACACCCAACCCGAGAAACUUCUAGCGCAAUUCCAGGGCGUUCAAAAGGGGCGUGUGGACGCGUCGCAAGAUACGGUGGGAGUGCGGCAUGCACGCGAUGUGGCACAAGACCGGCAAUACCUUGCCGGUGAUGGUCAAAGGCCGGCAAGACGGGCAGCAAAAAAGGUUCUGGUGCUGCACAGCAACAAGAACUUCGACCAGCAGAGGAACAACUGGGUGAUGCACCAGUACCACCUCGGGGACCUGGAGCAAGAGAAGGAGCGGGAGCUGGUCCUCUGGAAGAGUUUCUACCAGACGAAUACUAGGGCCAGGAGUAAAAAGAUUAUAAGUUAG
RNAcentral lists this ribosomal RNA (807 nucleotides) under Triticum aestivum (bread wheat). Its description in RNAcentral is "partial small subunit ribosomal RNA". The record is from RNAcentral. Lineage: Eukaryota; Viridiplantae; Streptophyta; Magnoliopsida; Poales; Poaceae.